GAGUUGCAGUAUUUUCAAACGAAGCUCACAGAAACCCUUGACAAAAACUAUUGAUGUACAUUUCGCCCAGUUUUUCUUUCUUUCUUUUUUUUUUUUUUGAGAUGGAGUCUCGCUCUGUCACCUAGGCUGGAGUGCAGUGGCACGAUCUUGGCUCACUGCAACCUCUGCCUCCCAGGUUCAAGCGAUUCUCCUGCCUCAGCCUCCCGAGUAACUGGCAUUACAUGUGCCUGCCACCAGGCCCGGCUAAUUUUUGUAUUUUUAGUAGCGAUGGGGUUUCACCAUAUUGGCCAGUCUGAUCUCGAACUCCUGACCUUGUGAUCUGCCCGCCUCAGCCUUCCAGAAUGCUGGGAUUACAGGCAUGAGCCACCGCACCCAGCCUUACCAGUGUUUUUCUAAGAAAACUUUUCCUAAACUGUAAAAAGUUUUUCUGUCUGCAGGGCCGAUUAACUUUCAAGAACGGGCGUGUGUACGAAGGCGCAUUCUCCAAUGACCACAUAGCCGGGUUUCCAGAUCUUGAAGUUGAAUUCAUCAGCUGCCUGGACCUGUCUUCAGGAGUUGCCCCAAGAUUGUCCAGGAGCGCCGAACUGAUCAGAAAGCUUGAUGGCAGUGAAAGUCAUUCUGUGUUGGGAUCGAGCAUUGAGUUGGAUCUAAAUUUGCUCCUGGACAUGUACCCUGAGACAGUCCAACCUGAAGAAAAGAAGCAGGUGGAAUAUGCCGUCUUAAGAAAUAUUACAGAAUUAAGAAGAAUCUACAGCUUUUACAGCAGCCUGGGAUGCGGCCACUCUCUGGAUAAUACCUUUCUGAUGACAAAGCUUCACUUCUGGAGAUUUCUAAAAGAUUGCAAAUUUCAUCACCACAAACUAACUCUUGCUGAUAUGGACAGGAUAUUAAGUGGUGAGUAUUACAGAUCCUUCACAUCUUUUGGUUUAAAGCAGAGGACCAGGCCGGCCACAGUGGCUCAUGCCUGUACUUCCAGCACUUUGGGAGGCCGAGGCAGGCGGAUCACGAGGUCAGGAGUUCAAGACCAGCCUGACCAACAUGGUGAAACCCUGUCUCUACUAAAAGAUACAAAAAAUUAGCCAGGCGUGGUGGUGCAUGCCUAUAAUCCCAGUCAUUUGGGAGGCUGAGGCAGGAGAAUCGCUUGGACCCAGGAGGCGGAGGUUGCAGUGAGCCAAGAUUGUGCCAUUGCACUCCAGCCUGGGUGACAGGGUGAGACUCCAUCACACACACACACACACACACACAAGGCAGGGAUCCCCAACCCCCAGGCCAGGGAGCAGUACUGGUCCAUGGCCCGUUAGGAAACAGGCUACACAGUGGAAGGUGAGCAGUGGACAAGCAAGUGAACUUUCAUCUGUUUUUUUAUUUUGUUUUAUUUUGAGACAGAGUUUCACUCUUGUUGCCCAGGCUGGAGUGCAGUGGCACGAUCUCGGCUCACCGCAACCUCUGUCUCCUGGGUUCAAGUGACUCUCCUGCCUCAGCCUCCCGAGUAGCCGGGAUUACAGGCAUGUGCCGCCAUGCCCAGCUAAUUUUUGUAUUUUUUAGUAGAGACAGGGUUUUUCCAUGUUGGUUAGGCGUGUCUUGAACUCCUGACCUCAGAUGAUCUGCCCGCCUUGGCCUCCCAAAGUGCUGGGAUUACAGGCAUGAGCCACCGCACCCAGCCUACCUUCAUCUGUUUUUACAGCCAUUCCCCAUCGCUGGCAUUACCGCCUGAGCUCUGCCUCCUGCAGAUCAGCAGGGCAUUAGAUUCUCAUAGGAGCGCAAAUCCUACUGUGAGCUGAGCAUGGGAGGGAUGUAGGUUGCACGCUCCUUAGGAGAAUCGAAUGCCUGAUGAUCUGUCACUGUCUCCCAUCACCCCCAGAUGGCACCGUCUAGUUGUAGGAAAACAAGCUUAGGGCUCCCACUGAUUCUACCUGAUGGCGAGUUGUAGAAUUGUUUCAUUAUGUAUUACAAUGUCAUGAUAAUAGAAAUAAGGCGUGCAGUAAUUCGAAUGCGCUUGAAUCAUCCUGAAACCAACAGCCCCCCACCGCUUUCCACCAUUCAUGGAAAAACUGUCUUCUACAAAAUCGGUCCCUGGUGCCAAAAAGUUUGGGGACCUCUGGUUUCAAGGACAGUAUCACAGUGUCACCUGGAAAACAGUUAGGAAAUGUGGAGGGAGCUGGGAAGGCCCAGGUUGGGAGACGAGUGUUCCAGAAAUCAGCGUGUGGUCAUUUCCCCCGUGAUUACGAGGUACUUGAUAAAGAGACAGUCUCGUGACAUAACAGCAACAGUACGAGGUCACCUACAAAAGCAGGGCCAGCAAUGCACGGUCUCAGGGUGAAAUCCAGUCCACCCCCGUUCCCCUAAAUCAGGCUUUACUGGAACACAGACAUGCCCGUUUGCUCACGUGUUCGUGACUGCUUUACCCUGAAGCACCACAGCUGAGGGAUUGUGAUGUAGACGGUCUGGUCCACCAAGCCUAAAAUAUUUACUCUCUGGCCCUUUACAGAAAGUUUGCCUCCCUCUCUCCCCCUGACCACCGAUCUAUAGUAAAAAAGCACUAAAUUGUCAGGUCAGAAAUGGGGAGACGGCCAGGCCUCGUGGUUUACGCCUGUAAUCCCAGC
Molecule: long non-coding RNA, 2603 nt
Organism: Pan troglodytes (chimpanzee)
Lineage: Eukaryota; Metazoa; Chordata; Mammalia; Primates; Hominidae
Source: Ensembl